Molecule: ribosomal RNA, 89 nt
Filed under: Ailuropoda melanoleuca (giant panda)
Lineage: Eukaryota; Metazoa; Chordata; Mammalia; Carnivora; Ursidae
Source: RNAcentral
UCUACGGCCAUACCACCCUGAACGCGCCUGACCUCGUCUGAUCUCGGAAGCUAAGCAGGGUGGGGCCAGGUUAGUACUUGGAUGGGAGA